UACGGGGGGAGCAAGCGUUGUUCGGAUUUACUGGGCGUAAAGGGCGCGUAGGCGGCCAGCACAAGUCAGUUGUGAAAUCUCCGAGCUUAACUCGGAAAGGUCAACUGAUACUGUGCGGCUAGAGUGCGGCAGAGGGAGGUGGAAUUCCACGUGUAGCAGUGAAAUGCGUAGAGAUGUGGAGGAACACCGAUGGCGAAGGCAGCCUCCUGGGCCGACACUGACGCUGAGGGCACGAAAGCGUGGGGAGCAAACAGG
Molecule: ribosomal RNA, 255 nt
Filed under: uncultured bacterium
Lineage: Bacteria
Description: partial 16S ribosomal RNA
Rfam family: Bacterial small subunit ribosomal RNA
Source: RNAcentral